UGGGGAAUUUUCCGCAAUGGGGGGAACCCUGACGGAGCAACGCCGCGUGCGGGAGGAAGGCCUGUGGGUUGUAAACCGCUUUUCUCUAGGAAGAAGGUCUGACGGUACUUGAGGAAUCAGCAUCGGCUAACUCCGUGCCAGCAGCCGCGGUAAUACGGAGGAUGCAAGCGUUAUCCGGAAUGAUUGGGCGUAAAGCGUCCGCAGGUGGUGAUGCAAGUCUGCUGUUAAAGAGUGUAGCUUAACUACUUAAAGGCGGUGGAAACUGCACCACUAGAGUACGUUCGGGGCAGAGGGAAUUCCUGGUGUAGCGGUGAAAUGCGUAGAUAUCAGGAAGAACACCGGUGGCGAAAGCGCUCUGCUAGGCCGUAACUGACACUGAGGGACGAAAGCUAGGGGAGCGAAUGGGAUUAGAUACCCGUGUAGUCC
Molecule: ribosomal RNA, 426 nt
Filed under: uncultured prokaryote
Description: bacterial SSU rRNA
Rfam family: Bacterial small subunit ribosomal RNA
Source: RNAcentral